This 212-nucleotide ribosomal RNA is filed under the name uncultured bacterium. RNAcentral describes it as "partial 16S ribosomal RNA". It matches the Rfam family "Bacterial small subunit ribosomal RNA", at positions 527 to 734 of the family's 1533-position model. The record is from RNAcentral.
UACGGGGGCGAGCGUUGUUCGGAAUUACUGGGCGGUAAAGGGACGCGUAGGCGGCACGGAUAGUUGGGUGUGAAAGACCCGGACGCUUAACUCCGGAAUGUCACUCAAUACUUCCGAGCUAGAGUGUGGAAGGGGCAAUCGGAAUUCUUGGUGUAGCGGUGAAAUGCGUAGAUAUCAGGAAGAACACCUGUGGCGAAGGCGGAUUGCUGGGC